GGCAUGUGUUGCCCAUGAAACAAUGACAAGAGCUCGAGCUUCAAAGACUUUCCCUCGUACAAGAAAAACUCAUUAACCAAAAUUGACAAGUGGAAGAUCAAAAGAAAACCCUAAAUACUUUCAGGAUUGUCUGUUAAGCUUAUCAUAUAA
Long non-coding RNA from Telopea speciosissima, 150 nucleotides. RefSeq lists it as uncharacterized. NCBI's taxonomy places the organism in Eukaryota, Viridiplantae, Streptophyta, Magnoliopsida, Proteales, Proteaceae. The record is from RefSeq and is a predicted model, not a curated record. The transcript is spliced from 3 exons.